GGGCUCUUAACAACACUCCCCUAUACAGAAGACUCCUUCGUCCAAUGACUCUUGUGUGUAAUGGUCAUGAGCAAGGGCUCUUGUUAGAUUAGCUAGCUAGGCAUUAAUGAUGAAUUAACAUCAUGUGGACAAUGGCAGAUUUUUGUCCUAUUCUGAGAAUGGACUGCUCUGUUACCCACACCCUACUUUGUAGCUAGUAGUGUUGGAGACACAUUAUCCUAUUAUUUGUUUAAUUUGCCCCAAAGCCUUGUUGAUAUAGCAAAUUUGAGCUAUUAACCUUUGCUUGUUGUUUUAUUUUAGUUGUUACUCCUCCCUACACUAUCUACAUGGGGAAAGACAAAUAUGAACGUAAGUAGCUGAUCAUUUGAAGUGUUUUUCUAGUAACAAACCAAGAUUGUUUUAGCAGCAUUGUGAGGUAGCAAAGUGACUACCUAGCCAGCAGAUCCAACACAUUUUGCUCACAGCUGCACUAGGGUCGGACAGGCUUCCUGUGUAGAUUAAGACAGAGGAGCCGGCGCGAGACAUGGCUGGGAAAACGUACCUCCAUCCAGGGAUGAGAAAUGUGUUGGCCCAUUAACCCCCCCAAAAUUGUCCCAUUAUCUCAACUGUUACACCAGGAAGAUUGAAUGACUGCUAGUUUAAGUAAACUUUCGUUUUCGACCUUGCAGUAGCCAUAGAACCCGUCAUGGAAUGGCACGUUGCGUUGAACAACAAAGGAGCUGAUUGGCUGGCACUGCAAUUCCAAAAUGGUUCAUUGACUUCUGCUACCUAGCACGUGGACGAAAAGGGCAGUUUCGUGGAAAACUAGCAGUGGCUUAAUCUCAGUGUAACAGUUAGGAUAAUGGGACAAUUCGGAGUACAACACAUUUCUCAUUCCUGGAUUGAGGUACUUUUUCCGAGCCAAAUUUCACGCUGGCUCUGCGGUGUUUUAAGGCUUCCGCAUGGUUUGGGUUGGCGAACGUAACGAGUGUGAUUGCUUACUCCCUUCAAAGACCUUAGCCAAAACAGUACUAUUUUCAAGCGAUUUUCAGAUGCCGUAGCCAGUAUACACUUCCGCAAAAUAGUCAGAAUUAUUGUAAAUUAAGAAAUCUGCAGUAUUUCUCAAGCGAUAAAAUGUGCAUGAAAACAAAUAUCGUUGAAUGACAAACACUUAAUUAAAGAAUCCCUGAUGUUGACCAGUGACCGAGGAAGGGGCGUAGACUUCGGCUCCGAACUCUGUCUUGCCUCGAGAAAGAAUGUGUGAACGAACAGCCCAAAAAAACCUUCCGACCUGUUUCGGAAGGGAAGCAUGCGGACUACUUUACUUUACGCAGGAGGCAUGUCCGACCCUUGAUCAGCUGUAAUCAAGCGGGUCGGAUCUGACUACCCACCUUACUUUCUGCUGCUUUCUCACUAUUAGAUGAUCUCAUCAAAUAUGGAUGGCCUGAAGACGUGAGAAACUCAUAUCCAUUUCUUCUUGUAACUCAAACCAUGAAAUACAUUAUUAGGAUUUGACCAUUUGAUGAGUCUGACGGUUGGUUCUAUGUAUACAUUACUCUAUGUAGUGUUGAAGAAUAUCCACCAGGUGGCCCUAGAGCUAGGCUAAUAGUACAGUAGUCCUAUAUCAGCUAAUAGUGCUGUGGUAAUAUGCAUGUCAUUGAUAAUUUUAGUAUGGAGGUGUUAUUGCUGUUAUAAUAGUAACCAUAUUAUUUCCACAGGUUUCAUGUGGAUAAACUAUCUUCUGCCCAUGUGUACCUUAGAAUGCCUAAGGGACUGACAAUUGAGGAUAUUCCCAAGGAAGUCUUGAUUGACUGUGUACAGCUUGUGAAAAACAACAGCAUCCAAGGAUGCAAAAUGAACAACUUCAAUGUUGUCACCAUGGGAAAACCUAAAAAAAACAGGGGACAUGGAUGUAGGCCAAAUAGGUUUCCAUCGGCACAAGGAGAUUAAGAUUGUGGCAGUAGAGAGGAAGAUGAAUGAGAUUGUGAACAGGUUGGAGAAAACAAAGGACAAGCGAUACCCUGAUCUGGCAGCAGAGAAAGAGUCUUGAGAUACGGAAGAGAGAAACGAGAAGAAGGCCCAGAUACAAGAUCUGAAAAAGAAAGAUAAAGAUGGCAUAAAAAAGAAAAGAGAGCUGGAUGAGCUCAAGUAAGUUCUCUUAUCUUUGUCCAACCCUAGCUACAUCACCUCUCUUCAUCUGCCAUCCCAAAACACUGUGAAUAGUCACUUAUGUGAAUGAUAAACUCACACAGUAAUUGUCCAUUAAUAGCAGUUAUUCUUCGCUGAUGAUGAGUGACAAUAUGACAACAACUGAGGCGAGUUGAUUAACAAUCUAAACGGAUGUGUAGUCUGCUUCUUUCAGAAAUAGACUGGCAUAUUAAUUGGUUAUAUGACUGUGUUGUAAUAUGACCAUUAUGUCUGAAAUGUAUAAUUGUAUCUUUUUCGGGAUGGAAAUGAUUCGGGUGACUUCAUGUAAAAGGACAAUAUCAGACAUACUCCACCACCUGCAAGUAAACAUUGUCGGGUUGGGCCCUCACUGUUAUACCGGACAGUGCUUUGACAUUGUAUAUAGAUCGAUAAAAUUGCUACUGUAUUUUUGGAACAGUACGUGUGCCAAUUUUGCUAAAAUUUCAGGACUCUGAACAGUCUGGUUUCCAGACGCUUCUUGAAUUUCAAAGGAUAACAUUCCAACAGCAUUGAUCUCUUGCACUGAACAUCCUCUGCUCGACUGACAAGAGGGUAACAACAACCCCCGAUUCCUCAGAAAACUGCUGCCAACGAUUUAGUCUUGGGACGGCUAUACCUUACAGGCUCUAUGAUCCAGUUCAGUAUUGUUGCAUGUUGACCUAAUGAUAUGAAUUAAUAUAAGAUUUCCUGACCAGUAUGUCUAUGGGUGAAAUUAAAUGAGUAUGUACAUUUUUUAAAAUAAUUUACCUGGUCAAUGCUGCAGACGUUGUCCUGGCCAGAGACUGGAACAUGUGAAUUGUGUCCAUGUGAAUCCAUGCAUAAGGUUUGUCUUGCAUGUUUCUUUGAAUUCAUUGUAAGAUUGCUGACAUUGUGAAUAAAAAUCACCUUGUUUAUCAGCUCAAAGUUAAAUUUUAAACAAAAACUGAACUGCCCAUAAGGUAUGUUAAUUGCCCAGUUCAUUAUUGAGACAAUAUGUUGACAUAGCUUUGCUAAUGAAGUGGGAUGUGUAAUGAAUGGUUUGUGCUGCUUGAAAGUUGAGAGAAUGGGUACCACCAGCUUUCUCCUUCCUGGGUGAUCAGAGCUGGGAUUGAAUUGACACGUGCUGGUUUUUCAGUAUAAAGCGUGACAUCUCUAUUUCUCAAUGCUGUGUGUGGAUGCAGCUGUGGUUGACCUCUGGUCCACAUCACACAGACUGAAACGCAUGGAGCAGGUUGAGGCACGAGGAGUGUGUCCGAAUGAAUUAUUCUGGAGGACUUGCAUUUCAUCUGCGUAAACAAUUUCACUCCAAACAACCUCUAAAAGCAGAAUAAAAGGCCUUUGUUUCAAUCUGCAUGUGAUUUGCUUGCCACUACAUGAAUAAGACUGGGUUAUUCUCAGUGACAGGAUGUCAUAUGUAACUAUAGGCCCCGGUCUGUGUUUAUCAACCAACUGUUGACUAUGCUUAUGUCACAUGCCAGUAUUAUUUCAAGGACUGGAACAUAGUGUACAAAUGUCCUGUUUUCCAUGAAGGUUGUUUCAUGGAUGAGGCAUUUAGAUAUUUUUCAAGUUAUGAACUGUUGA
Molecule: long non-coding RNA, 3726 nt
Organism: Oncorhynchus tshawytscha (Chinook salmon)
Lineage: Eukaryota; Metazoa; Chordata; Actinopteri; Salmoniformes; Salmonidae
Exons: 3
Source: RefSeq, a predicted model, not a curated record